GACGAACGCUGGCGGCGUGCUUAACACAUGCAAGUCGAACGGAAAGGCCCUUCGGGGUACUCGAGUGGCGAACGGGUGAGUAACACGAGGGUGAUCUGCCCUGCACUUUGGGAUAAGCCUGGGAAACUGGGUCUAAUACCGGAUAGGACCACGGCAUUCAGGUGCUGUGGUGGAAAGCUUUUGCGGUGGGGGAUGGGCCCGCGGCCUAUCAGCUUGUUGGUGGGGUAAUGGCCUACCAAGGCGACGACGGGUAGCCGGCCUGAGAGGGUGACCGGCCACACUGGGACUGAGAUACGGCCCAGACUCCUACGGGAGGCAGCAGUGGGGAAUAUUGCACAAUGGGCGCAAGCCUGAUGCAGCGACGCCGCGUGAGGGAUGACGGCCUUCGGGUUGUAAACCUCUUUCGCCAGGGACGAAGCGCAAGUGACGGUACCUGGUGAAGAAGGACCGGCCAACUACGUG
RNAcentral lists this ribosomal RNA (462 nucleotides) under uncultured bacterium. RNAcentral describes it as "partial 16S ribosomal RNA". It matches the Rfam family "Bacterial small subunit ribosomal RNA", at positions 28 to 507 of the family's 1533-position model. The record is from RNAcentral.